UGCUGGGAUUACAGGCAUGAGCCACCGCGCCCGGCCAAGAGACCUUGUCUCUUAAGAAACAAAACAGAAUGAAACAACCUAUGAGGGAUACCUGGUGUCAUAGAAAGUACUGAGCAUGAGGCCUGGUGCAUAGUAAAUGCUCAAAAAAAAUAAAAGCAGUUUUAUCUAGCUUCGUUCUUCAGAGUAACAUGAGACUAGCACUUGAAGAUCCAAGACCAUUCUGAGUCAGUUUUCUUGCAGUAAACUCUUGGGCACCUUGAUUUUUGGCUGUCUUCAGCUUAACCCCUUUCACUUGUAAGUCUCUAAUUAUCUAAAGCGUAUGGUUGUGUUUUCACUUAUGCAGGUAGUUUAUGUACCAUUUAUUGAAAGACCUCUUCCUUUCCUUCUGAACCAUUGUUUUCCUUCUGUUCAGUCUCCAAAUGUACCUUUCUCUCCUCUUUAGCCUUUGACUGACAUUUCUGUGAAGCAUUUUGUGAUGUGCAUUUAGAACACUACGUAAAAAUAAACUGCAUUGUGUUAUUUAAAUAUUUAGAGGCCUUUGUAGCCUUGCAGGCUAUUUUUAAAAUGACCUUUAAAACCAUUUGCAAAGAAGACAAAAGUAAUGGGGGGAAAGCAUAACCUUUUAAUGUUUCCUUCAUUAGUGGCGUUCCCUACCUUGGAUGCAUUGCCUUGCUUUGAUAGUUCAUAAUGUAGGAUACAUCAAAGACCCAAAUAAUGGAGAACAAUGGGGACCAAUUUUUUUAAAGCUGAUUUUGCAUUAUUGCUGCUGCCAUUAGGUGUCAGAUGGAAAAGAUCCCUUUCUUUUAAAUAAGCUGGACUCAUGAUUGAUUUUCUACGUGUGGUAGACCCCCUUGGUAAUGCUGGUGUGUAAAGAAAGACCUGCUAUGCAUUCAUAUGUGAAUUGGGCUUAUCCGGUUUCCUACGACUUUGCUUUUGUACAGCAAGUUUAUUUUUGAGAGGAGAGAGUCAAUCUGCGUUAUAUCUGACUCAAUAAUAACAAGAAACCAAGUUGCAGUAAGAGUCUGCUCUAUUCCUUCCUUCAUUCAGUCAAUCCUCCGUUCACCAUUUCUCCAAAACAUACCAGUCCGUCUUUGACUGUAUUUUGAGGGUCUGGACCCAGAACAGGAAGAGUCAACCUUCCAGAAACUUCUCUGAUAAAGAAAAAUGAGAGACAGAGGUCCAGGGCCACUGUGGAAAGCCAAUGUUUGAAACCCUCAAAAGGCCCGAAACAAGAAGCAGCUUGCAGAGUAGGAUUGGGGGAUCUGCAAGGCCAGAGUGAGGUAGGAAGCAACCCACAAGGAGGGCCAUGAUUGCAUUAAGAGCAUAGUAGGCAAGAAAACACAGGCAGCCAGGAUGUGGUGUUGGGUAGAUAUGGUGCAGGCCAAUUGGACAGACCUGCUUUUAUUGAUUUUAAAAUGGAACCAGGGCUUAAGGAAGAUACUGCCCUCUUGGAUCUUCGAGCAUAGCUAGGGCGUAUGCAUGUGAGAAGUUAAAUAUUAGGACAAAACAGUCCAUGGUGGAUGCCAAACGACUGGACCGCCAAUAAGCGCUGAAGGAGAAGGCCUUCAUGGAAAGCCUUCAAUGCCAGAGACUUUCUUUCCUUGCUUGAUUUGCUUUGCUUUUUUUCUUUCUUUUUUUUAAACAGAGUCUCACCUGUCUUCCAGGCAGGAGUGCAGUGGCAUGAUCAUGGCUCACUGCAACCUCAAACUCCUAGGUUCAAGUGAUCCUCCUGCCUCAAAUUUCUGAGUAGCCAGGACUACAGGCACAUACCAUUCCGUCCAGCUAAUUUUUAAAUUUUUUGUCAAGACAGGGUCUCAGUAUGUUGCCCAGGUUGGUUUCAAACCCCUGGGCUCAAGGAUGAUCUUGCCUCGGCUUCCCAAAGUGCUGGGACUACAGGCGUGAGCCACAGUGCCCAGCCCACUGGAGACUUUCUAUGCUCAAAACGAAUAAUAACGUUCCAACUCCGGGCAACUCAGUAAAUUUUUUUUAAUAAAUUAUGCUAUGUGUUCAUUAGGUUAUAGAUAGAUACUUAUUAUUCUCAUUUUACAGAAUUGGAAACUAAGGUUUGGAGAAAUUCAGAACCAUAUCUGCAGGCUCACAGCUGGUGUGUGAUGAAGCAAGUUUUAAAUCCAGGGCUAUCUGACCCUAGUUAUUUACCACCACAUCACAAAACAAUCUGAAAAACGGAAUGUUUGAAAACCAUGUGUGGUACAUAGAAUAAUGCACCCCUCCCUCAAAGAUGUGUGACCACAACCUAAUUCCUCUCCCAUCUUCCAGAGUGCCCCUACUAUAGUCAUUUUUAUCCUUAUUAGCAGCCAAUGUGAUGCUUUGAAAACAUAACUCAGAUCAAGGAUCUUCUGAUCAAAACUGUCCAAUGACUUCCCAUCAUAUUUAGCAUAAAAUCUCGUCUUUAACGUGGUCCACAAGGCCUUUCAUUAUCUGACCACUUAUCCUCCAACCGUAAUUUCUACCACUCUUCUUUACUUGCUCCUCUAAAAUACCCAGCACACCCUUGCCCCAGGGUCUGUGUACUUGCUGUUUUCUUCUCCCAGAUACGCACAUGGCUCACUGGCUUCGUUCAUGUGUGGCCUCUGCAGAAAGCGCUUUCCUGACCACCAGUCUAAAAUAGCAUCUUUCAUUUUCACCUUACCCUUCACUUAUCACUAACUGACCUUAUAGUCUAUAUUUAUGGGUUUAUUGUCUUUUCUUCCCACGAGAAUGAAAAGUCCGUGAUGUCUGGUCUGUUUUGUCUCUGCUGUGUCUCUAGCUCCUAAAACAGUGACUGACAAAAGGUGAAUGUUCAAAAAAUCACGAAUGAAUGAAUUUUUACAAAUGUUUAAUGUUUGAUGUGAAUUACAUUAAGACAGUUAGUUGCAGACAUUCAUUUAAAGCAUGGAUAUGCAUUUGCAAUAUUCCAUCUGCUAUGGGCACUUCCUAGUGCUAAGGCUUUAAAAUAUGCAAAUAUGAAGAAAGUGCAAUCCCUUGCUUGCCCUCAAGGCAUUUACAAUCUAGUAAAGAAGACAAAUUUCAAUCGGUGUUGGACUGACAGGUGUAAGUUGUAGUAGACUCUGACAUCUGUAAUCAUGUUGCAAGGAUAGUUUUAUGGGGAUUCAGAGAAGGGAGCACUGUAUCCAGUUGCUAGCAUUAGGGAAACCUUCAUUGUGGGGAGUGGGAGAGGUCAUCUUUGGCCGCAUUUUGGACAAUGUGUAGCAUUUUGAUAUGUGGGACUUAAGGGAAAAGCAUUCUGGGUGAAAGGAACUGCUUAAACAAAGGUACAGAGGCAGAAAAGUCCAAGAUGCUUUUCUAAAGAAAGAUAUUGACCACAGAGAAACCAGAGUCAAUAUUACCCCAAUGACAGUAAAUAUUGAAGUUCAAUAAAAACUGGUUGGCAUAUCUGCUAUGCCUAAACAAUUUUGCUAAUAUUAAGAAGGUUCUCGGCUAAAAUUCUGACUCAUCAAUUAUUUACUUUUUUUUUUUUUAAUUUAAAUGACUAUUUCUAUGGGGAAUCUUUUGUAAAUGUGUCUGGUCUAAUUAAUUUGGUGCCAACCAGGCACCAAUGCCUUGUCGACUCUCUUUAUUUACUGUGGUAUGCAGUCACUUUUCUUAGUUGUUCCGUGCCUCAUCCUAGGAAGUAGGUUUGUCCUGUUUGCUUUCAUAAGCAUGACUGGCCAGUAAAACCCUUGACCUUUAAAUUAAUGGGUAAUACGAAUUCAUCUCAUUCCAUCAUGAAACAAAGAUUCUCUGUAUCAGAUAUUACUAUUUAUUAGUAAGACAAGGGGAUGGGGGAUGCCAUGUGCUCUGAGGUAUCACUAUUAGUUAAUGAGAAUGGUCCACAUUUUAUCCUUCUUAGGAGUAAUUUUUCUGAAGGGCAUUGGGAAAUUAAAUAAACACAUCUGAAAUUGGAUUUAGAUUUUGAUAGAGCAGAAUGAUUACAACUAGGGUCCCUUAGUAGCCUGGGGUUAUUCAAAUACAGAUAAAGACAAUACAUUUCCAUAAAUUCUGAAGAAAACAUGUGGCUGGAGUAUGAGCCAUAUUUUUCUGAGUGCUGGGGUUGAUGGCCAUUAAAAAUGAGAAGAACUGAAACAUGCAGGCAUUAGUUCCUCACAUGACAGUUGCUCUAAAUCACCAUUUAUAGAAUGCACUUUUUAAUGUGAGCAUUUCUAAAGUUAACAUGAGCAAUAGAAAUGUCAAAAGUGAAAAUUAAAUCAUUAAUUCUAACAUAUUCCUUUCCUAAUUAAGAAUAAUUACAGCAGGGGCUAGAUUUUAUUCACCCUUUGACCUCAACCUUGCUUGCUCAGUGCCUGGGACUUACUGUUUAUUGAGCGAAUGAAAAAAUUUUUUUUAUCAAAUCUUUUGCUUAGGCAGGUCCACAAAUGGCAGGGGGCAUACCCGGGAUAUUGCUGAAAAUGAGCAAUUGAUAUGCAAGAGUUAGACAAAAUUCAGCUGAAGCAGUCCAGGGCUUAAAUAAUACUAGCUCAGAAAAUUAAGAUAGAGACUUAUCAAAGCUUUCUUUCAGACUGAUCCUUAAAUGUUUUGAAAUGUUUAUCUAAACCUCUUAAACUCUAAAAUAGUUUUGAUGCCUUUUGAUAGCAAAUUCUGAAAUGCCUCAAUUAAUGUGAAGCCACAAUUGAUUAUGUUUUUAAUAUACAAAUAUUGGUGCUAAUGGAUUUAUAAGACAUUGUGAUGGACUUAGAAUUGUAAGUCUUUACUAUCAGGCAGCCUUUAGGAAGCAGCUACUAACAUGUUUAUAAAGGAUGCAUACACUGGGAAAUUGUGGUCAAAAUGUCAAACAGUAAAACAGCAGAGUUCAAGCUGGUUCACAUCAAUAUUUAUUUUAAUUUUGUAAACACUUAUUUGGGUGAUUUUUUUUAUGAAAGCCUAAGCUUUAGAGAAACACCUUUAUAGAUCAAUUUUUUAAAAGCAUUUGGUCACAUAGAACUACUUGAAACUAUUGUCCAAAUAGCCUGCUAAAGCAGAUGUGCUGCUUAAUUUUUUUUAAACCCAGUGCAUGAUUGAAACAUUUUCUGUGUCACCUAGUUAUCUGUGGUCAGAAGUGUUUGUUGUUAAUAAUACUUUAUUUUGAAUUCAUAAAUGAUUUGUGGAGAUUCAUGGAGUGGGUUCUUUUCAGGCUUCUAGUAAUUCAUUGUAUCGUUUGCCUAAAUUGUAUUACCAUGCUGGCUGUAUAACUGAGCCAUAUCGGGGGAACUGACUUGUUGAAGCUGGUUUGGGCCAUGUGGCAUUGAAAUUGCAAGCAUGAGUAUAACAAGCUAAACCCAAAUGAAGUUGGACAUUGCUAACUGGGAGCUUGUUGACAAUGUGUUGAGAUAAGAGCCUGUUCCCUUCAAGAAAGACUUGUCCCAUAGAAGUCUUUUGAUCCUGAGGGUGUGGGGCUGCCCUUGACCAUUGAUAUAUAGCAGAGGUAGGAAGGGUUUUGUUUAGUUUUUCAAUAACAUUCAUUGCCUUUUUUUUCCUGAGUAGAAAAGUCAUUAUUUAAUUUAAUUUUGUUUUAUGUUUUGUUUGUUUGGUUUUUAACCAUUUCAGUAGUAAUAGUAAUAGUGAUUUCCUUAGUUGUCAUGAUUUUUCCCAGUAGGUUUUUUUCCCUCAUAGGAACUAAAUACUGUUUUACUUCAAACUGAGUGCUUCACACUUUGGAUCUCAAAAUAUAUCCUAGGAAUUUCCAAAAUUUCUUCCCCUUGUAUGGUAUGCUCACAGAUUUCUUAGAUAGUCAAAAGGGGCAUUACAUCCCAAGACCAGCUCAAUGAAUGACAAGAAAGAAUAGCUUUCCAUCAUCCACCUUAGCAACCCACUCCCUCCCAAUGCCUUCCCCAUCCCCCACCCCACCCAAGCGUACAAGGCCUGGCUGUGUGCCUGGUUACCUGUAAAGGAGAAGAGCAGUUACUCUUGGUAGAUGACAACACCCAGUAACAAUAACAAAACCUUCAUGAGCUCAUCCCCCUUAGAAAGCAAUUUAGUUAAGCCCACCUGGCUCACUGUUUCCCCCUGAGCAUUUUCCUGUGUCCAGUGUGCUGUCUUUUAGGAUGUGAGGCUGUCAGUGCCAGAUUCACAUGCUUAAGAAAUAAACUCAUUUUUUUUCUUUUGGUUUGAGGGUUAACACAGGGUGGGGAUACGAGUGACCCAGUAGACAGUGGAGACCGAGCCCUAUGAUCUGUUUUGUUAAUUUUGCAUAGUGGGUGCUCUGGAGCCACACUGCCUGGUUUUACAUUUCAGCUGCCUCCAUCAACUAGCUGUGUUAGUUUGGGUAUGUUAUCCAACCUCUUUAUGCUCCAUUUUCCUGACUUACAAAAUGGGGCUUGUAACAACUUCAUGGGUUAUUAGGAAGAUACAUGUAAACAGUUAAAGUUCAUACGUGUAAAGAGUUACAACACCUAACACAAAGUCAGUGCACAAUCAAUUAUGAUUAUGUCCUUGUUUCUCUAUCCUAUUCUUCUCUUUCUUCCCCCUCUCUAACUCGCUCUCCACCUUUCUCUCCAUUUUUGCUUUCUCUUGUUUCUAUAAAGAAUCUAAGAUACACUAGGAUUAAAAUAAGUAUAUGAGAAAAUCAGUGUUCUUUGGGGCUUUCAUAUAACUUGAAACUCUUAUACACUCAUAAACUGCUAAUGAUUUUGCUUCCACACAACCAGAUGUAUCUCUGGUUCUACACAUCACCUCUUUCUCAUGGAACUGUUUGGGCAUAUUCCUGUAUACGAGUCUAUUACUAGAAAACAAAGGAAUAAAUGAGGAGAAAAUACUAUGUGUAAGUUAAAAGCCAGAAGAGAUAUAAAACAUUACAUUUCUGAUUCUUCAUGUUUAUUUUAUGAUCUGGUGACCUUGUCUAAUUAAAGGCACAUUUCUUGGUGUACAGCGGUGAUCACUGAGUACAGUUUUACUCACUUAGGUAAAUGAAGUAUUACUCUCAUUUAGAAUAGGGUAAUCAAAUGUGUCAUAGUGAACAUUGUGUUUAAAUAUAUAAUUCUGUACAUCUAUCUCUGGAUAUUCUACCUCUCUUAUAUAGGCCUCUUUUGAAAAUUUGUGCAGGAAAAAUUAAAAAGUCAACAUAGAAUUCCUUUCGGUAUACAUUAUAACCUUUUUCCCCACAGAGAGGUUAUUUUUAGUUUCUGUUAUGUCCCUGACCCUGACAACGUAGCCAAACCAGACUUUCCAUCCUGAUCUUCCCCCACACUCGGCUCAAUCUCCACAGGUUUUGCCCCUUCCAGGCGACCUUGUCCAGGAGUGUGACAAACCCAGGCCUGGCUCCUGGGGCAGAAAGAGGAAGAACGAUAUGUGUAGUGUCCCCUUGCCUUCCUUUCACCCCUGACGUAUUUAUCUGGGGAAGUUGAACCACACUGUACUGUAAGAACAGUGUUGAGAGGGAAAGAAAUUUACAGAAGAACCAACAAGUCACCUAAGAGGUAGAGGAAGAAAGGAAAAUUGGUUCCUUCUACUUUUCCAGGGAGGGAGUAAAUAAAAGGACAGGCUCAUAGCUUUACUGUUUCUCCACUACAACCUUAGCUGCUUCUGAGCGUGUGCUGCUUUCAAUUCCAUGGAUUCGCCUAACUCCAGAGACAGCUCUGUGCACACUGGAGGAUCACCGCUCCCUCUCUCCACACCAGGAGUCUGUAACUCAGAUAUCUGGAGACAAGCAAGAAAUGCCUUGUGUAAGACAGAUGGAGUGAAAGACAGUAGGCAUUUUCCUUGCAACUAAGGCCACUAUCUACCUACCCACAUCCAGCCGCCUGUGCUUGCAGCUCCAUGUCAUUCUUACCUCCACAAUUAUGAUGGCUUAGAAGGGCCUUACAGGGAAAGGAUGUGAGUAAAAUAGGCCAGAGGUGGAACACAGGGGUAUGGGAAUUGGCACACACCCUGUCCCUAGAAAGGACAGCUGUGGUGGAGAGUGCAUCUUAAGUUAUUGGACCAUCCAACUUUUCACACAAAGCUAGAAAAUAGUAUGUUCUCUUUAAAGUAUCCAAUUUUUAAAGCACUGUGUGAGUCAAACAAAACUCUUCAAACAAAACAAGACCACAUGUAGUCUUUAGGCCAUUGUGUGCUAGUUUUCUUUUUUUCUUUUUUUCUUUUUUUUUUUUGAGACAGAGUUUUGCUUUUGUUGCCCAGGCUGGAGUGCAAUGGCGUGAUCUCGGCUCACCACAACCUCCUCCUCCUGGGUUCAAGCAAUUCUCCUGCCUCAGCCUUCCCGAGUAGCUGGGAUUACAGGUGCACGCCACCACCCCUGGCUAAUUUUGUAUUUUUAGUAGAGAUGGGGUUUCUCCAUGUUGGUCAGGCUGGCCUCGAACUCCUGACCUCAGGUGAUCCACCGACUUCGGCCUCCCAAAGUGCUGGGAUUACAGACGUGAGCCACCGCGCCCGGCCAUUGCGUGCUAUUCUGAUAUAACUCUUACCAGCUUGAGCAUCAAGUCUUCAUGCCCUCACCACCCGUGGUGUGCUGCUCCUCCCCCGAAUUCCAUAACCAGCAUCCUUUACCACUCAUUUGUCACUUACUGGUGCUUUUCCUCAUUAUUUCCAGGAAGUGGGGCAAGUCACCAUAAGACAGUUAUGAGCUGUGUGAGGACAAGAACUAAUGUCUGCAUUUCCCCAUCACAACUUUCUCAUUGCCUUGUGCACAGCUGGGCCCAAGUAAAUACCUAUAGAUUUGUUGUUCUUUUUUUCAGUUACUCCUAGUACUUUCUUCAUAUUACAUGUCUAGGACCAUAGCUCAGCUGCCCACUAGUUAAUGACACUUGAACAGACACUUACAUUUGUUUUAUUAGUGACUGAUGGCUAAGAUGAGAAUGGGAAAAGAACUAGAGGGAAGACUCACUUUUCUGUUUCCUUGUUAAAUUUUGUCCUUUAUGCUAUUAAAAUGAAAUACUAGUUUUCACAAUCAAAUUAGCUUCCUAUUUUUAAAGAACCUAGUCCUAGUGGCAACAGCUACCACGUAGUAUUAAACACCAACUUUAUGUCAAGUGCUUUACAUAUGUUAUUUCUCAUCCUCGCAGCAACCCAAGAGGUAAGUGUUAUUAUUCACAUUUUAAAGAUAAGAGAGCUAAGUUGGCUGGGCAUGAUGGCUCAUUCCUGUAAUCCAGGCACUUUGGGAGGCUGACGUGGGUGGAUGACCUGAGGUCAGGAGUUCGAGACCAGCCUGGCCAACAUGGUGAAACCCUGUCUCUACUAAAAAUACAAAAAUUAGCUGGGCAUGGUGGUGGGCACCUGUAAUCCCAACUACUUGGGAGGCUGAGGCAGGAGAAUCACUUGAACCCGGGAGGCAGAGGUUGCAGUGAGCCAAGAUCACACCACUGCACUCCAACCUGGGUGAUAGAGCAAGACUCCAUCUCAAAAAAAAAAAAAAGAAAGCUAAGUCACAGAGAGAUUGAGUGGCUGUCCAAGACCAUAUAGGCAGGAGGUGAGCCAAGAUAGCAGAGCAGUUAUACUUCCCCUGUUACAGCACUUAAGACAUCAUUGUAAUUGUUCACUGCACUGUACCCACUCUACACCAACAACUCCAGGAGCAGAGACUGACUUUGUCUUAUUCAUCACAGUAUCCUCAGUGCCUAGCACAGUGCCUGGCCUAAAAUGGGAAGGUAGGAAAGAUUUUCUGAAUGGAAAAGUAUCCUACUGCCCCACUUCUAUUACUUGUCCUUUGUUAUGAAAGAAAUUACUCCAAAACUGAGAUAAUAAGCAUUCAUUUUGACACUGUGUCUUUGGGUCAUGGAUUCUUGAGUGGCAUAGCCAGAUGGUUCUGACUCGGUCUCUCGGACUCAUGAGGUUAUAAUUAACUGUAGGCUGGGGCUGUAGUCAUCAGCACACUUGACUGGGGCUGGAAAAUCUGUUUUUAAGCUCACUCAAAUUGCUGCUGUCUGGAAGCCUUGUGCUUUUAUUCCAUCCCUUGGGCUUCUUCAUAGGCAAGUAUCCACAUGGGCCUCUCCAUAAGUGAGUGUUCUCACAACAUGGCAGCUGACGUCUCUAAGAGAGAGUGUAGGUGAGAAUAGCCAAGACAAAAGCCUUAGCAUCUUUUAUAACCUAACCUUGGAAUUGACACCUCAUCACUUCCGCAGUAUUCUUUUGAUCACAUAGACCAACCCUGAUACAACGUGGGAGGGACUACAUAAGGGUGUCUGCUCCCAAAAGGUAUUGGGGGCCAUCUUGGGGCUGGCUACCACAGAACUCUACUGUAAACCCUUUCUGUGACACAGACACUCACGUUACAGCUUCCUCCUUUGAAAAAUUUUACUUUAAGCCUUUUAGAAUUUCUUAAAGAAGAUACCCUUCCAGUAGAAUUAGACAAGACUUCCACAUCAUUUACAGUGCUGUUACAUACAUGCAUGCAUACAUACAUAUGCAUAUAUAUAUAGAAAACCAGCUAUUUAAAACAGUGUAUGCCUGAUGUGAUAAAUAAAGUGCGAUUUGUUUAAAAAGAACAUUUAUGGGGUUUUUGAGGAAGCUGUAUAAAUAAUUUGCCAAGGAAAAAUGAUACACAAAGCCUAUGGGCCACUUGGACUAUAGUUUUUAAAGUUUGUAGGUGUUAGUUCUUUUCUAUAUUUAAGUCAUUGAAAUGACCACUUAAACCACAUGUAGACAUGUGGGCAAAUAUAUCUAAUCACUGGUAUAAUUAUUUAUUUCAUGAAGGGGAAAUAGGCCUUUUAUAUGAUGACCUUACAAUAAGGGUCAUUUUUAUAUUCGGAAAGAUAAGCACCUGUCAUUUUCUUGUUAUUCUGAGGUCAGAGCCUACCACAGAGAUUUUAAUAUUUGAAAACAAUUCUAUUCACUGGAAUUUCAGCAGUUAAAAUAAUGAUUUUCUUAAGAUGCAGCAUUCUGAUGCACUAUGUCUGACCUUUCUUGGUCAGGAAAAUAACAUCUUCAACAUCUCUUGUUUCUUAUUCUACUCUUUCCAUAUUGCUUGAAACUGAUGUUAAAUGAUCAGGAUGCUUUUUCACUUCUUUAGUAUCUUAAUUAGCAUGUGUCUGUUCCUGUAGCUAUCAUGAGAUGUAGCAGCUUUUGCAGUGACAAUAUCUUCAGUCAAAUAUUUGUACUUUAAAAAUAUUUUAACAAAAUGUAUACUAGUAAAAAUGAAGUUGGAAAUCGAAAUCUAUAGAAAUAAUUAUCAUUGGAAAAUGGUUUUUUGGUGGGAUAUAUGGUUAUGAUAAAGAUUUGGUGAAUCUUAUUUUAUUUCUAUAUCAGUACGUUUUAAGAAGUUCCUCUUAUACUGUGCUGCUUAAUCCUACCAAAAAGCUGGGCAUAUGCUUUGGGAAAGGAUUAAGUGAUGAGGUGUAUUUUUGCUCUUUGAAGGAGAAUUCAUUAAAAUAAGAACUCAUUCUAAGAAAAGGAAGCAAGUAAUAUUGAACAAACAUUUAACAUGGUUAAAUUAAUGAAGGUAGUCUUAGCUUUGGAACAAGAUCAUUAAAAAUAUGAAAAACUUCUUUUGGGUAGUUAAAAAUCACUUUAAAAGUAAUUACAUUUGUAGUAAUGAUGAAGAGGAUGGGGGAAUAAUUUGAGUGUAAACUCUGUGACGACAGGGAUCAGAUCUUGUUAAUUUUCAAAGUCCUCUUCCUGAAUCUAAUACUUUUGAGUAUAGUAGAAGACAAUAAAUGUUGAAUGGAUACAUGAAUGGUAUGGUAGAUUUUUAUAAUGUAAUUAUAUGACCUUAUUUCUGCAUAGAAGCCAUGUUUCUUGUUUUAGAAACAUUCUAUUUUUUAAAGUCUUUCUUCUGAAUACUUUGUCAUCAUAAAAUUAUUUUAAGCAUUUAUCCAGUAUGCAUCCCUCCCUGACAUAUUAUUACGCCCUCAAUUUUAAAAAAAUGAAAUCACAUUGGUGAAUUAAAUGUUCUGGGUUUUGUUUGCCAGAUUCAGUGGUGCCUCAUGGAGCAGCGGUCCCAAAUCCAUGUGGAAAGGGGUUUGCUGCUGAAGUCUCCAUGGCCCUUAGGCAAAUGGCUCCGUCCAGAAUGGUACUCUGAAUCUCACUUUUAAAAGGAUAGGGAAGUUUUAGUCUUAUUAUCACAAAAUAAUGGCAGUUUAUUCCUAGGCAUUUUCAAAGACUGCACCCUGGCUUUCAAGUACAAUAUUUGCAGAAAAAAAAAUGUGGUAAACACAUAGGAAAAGAGAAACAGUGUGGUAAACAAAACACACAGGAAAAGAAAAAAAAAUGAGGCGCAUUUAACUGGCCUUAUUCCAGUUAAAAUCAUCUUCAGUGUUCAGGGGGAAUCAUAAAAAUUAUAUACUUUUCCAGUCUUUUUUUUUUUUUCCUCAAGUUUUUUCAAGAUGAUCCAUUUAGGACCACACUGUGGCAAAGCCUGUGGAAAACAUGGGUGGCCCCAGGAGUGUCUGUAAGAGCUUCAAAGAAGCCAAUGAUGAGCUGUUGUUGCCCUAGGUAAAAGCCCCCAAAAUCAAUAAUCUCUUGAGCCUUGUAAUCUCAUUUUCCUUUCAGAGGCAUUUCCCAAACCAAAACACCAAGCAAAAUGUGGCAUAAAGUCAAAGAAUCUUUGAUUUGGAAAGGAUCUUUGAAAUCAUCCAGUCCAAUUUUUAUCUCCUACUCAAAUUUCUUUUAGACAGUUGACUCUAAUAUUAUGACCUAAUGAAUAAAAUAAUUUUGCCAAAAGAAAAAAUAAAUCUGUGUACAUUUCUUUUGUUUUGCUUUGAUAGCUUAUUACUCAGAACUUAGGACAAAAUACCUAUUUAAGAAUUACAUUCGGCCGGGCGCGGUGGCUCAUGCCUGUAAUCCCAGCACUUUGGGAGGCCGAGGCGGGCGGAUCACGAGGUCAGGAGAUUGAGACCAUCCUGGCUAACAUGGUGAAACCCCGUCUCUACUAAAAAUACACAAAAAAACUAGCCAGGCGCGGUGGCGGGCGCCUGUAGUCCCAGCAACUCGGGAAGCUGAGGCAGGAGAAUGACGUGAACCCGGGAGGCGGAGCUUGCAGUGAGCUGAGAUCGCGCCACUGCGCUCCAGCCUGGGCGACAGAGCGAGACUCCAUCUCAAAAAAAAAAAAAAAGUAUUACAUUCCCUCUGAACUUUAGGAUGGAUCUAGACUGUGUGGACUGUCCAACACGUGAAAUGAAAAUGUCUAUCAGUUGUUGUCAGGCAGAUUUUUGCUACUUUCUUAAUACCAAAUUUUCUUAUGUUCACUGUAAAGAAACUUAGAGCUACUUUUAAUCUCAGCCAUUUGUAAUGAGAGCUGUCCCAGCAUGGUGACAUUGACAAAUCCUAAUAAUCUUUAGAAGAAACGACAAUAGAGUAAUGUUACUUGCUGUGGCCAAAGUCCAGCGGUUCUAGGGAUGACUUGUGAAUAAGAUUUCUUGUCUCAUUGGACCUAGGUAGAACAGAAUAAAAUGUAUUAUCUGUUGAGCUUGAUUCUCUACUCUUUUUAUUGCCAUUGUUUUUCAUUGUUUUCAUCAUCAUGCUAUGUAGCAAGUAACUUGGAAGGACUUUUGGAAGGAUUAGAAGUUCUGAUUGAUUGUCCAUGCUUCCAAUACGGCAGUUCCUUAAAAGCUCCCUGGUAAUUUGGCAACAUAUUAUUCUGAUCACUUGUGUAAAAUGUACUUGUGUAUGAUGACCUUUCUCAAACUACAUGGUAAAAUGAGGGUGAGGUUCAGUGGGAAGCUUGUUGAGUUCCUUAGAGGUCAUCAAGAUUAUGCCAUAGAAAAUAAUUAAUUUUUAAUGUCAGCACCUAAAUUGAUGUUUUUCGCAUAUAAAAACCAAAUCUAGAAAGAAAAGAAGAAGAAAAAGUGAGUUUUGCUAAUUGCAAAAUCUGACAAAAUAGUCACCUUUGGUAAAGCCCAUUUGGUGAGAAAGGUAAUUUUUUUUUUUUUUUUUUUUUUGUGACGGAGUCUCGCUCUGUCGCCCAGGCUGGAGUCCAGUAGCGCUAUCUCAGCUCACUGCAAGCUCCAUCUCCUGGGUUCACGUCAUUGUCCUACCUCAGCCUCCUGAGUAGCUGGGACUACAGGCGCCUGCCACCAUGCCCAGCUAAUGUUUUGUAUUUUUAGUAGAGACAGGGUUUCACCAUGUUAGCCAGGAUGGUCUUGAUCUCCUGACCUCGUGGUCCGCCCGCCUCGGCCUCCGAAAGUGCUGGGAUUACAGGCGUGAACCACCGUGCCCAGCCUUGAGAAAGGUAAUUAUUAGAGUUAUUUUUUCUUGGAUACAAACCUAUGGAUUCUCAAAUUCUUUUAAAAAUAAAAAAGCCAUUUUAUCGUAAGUUUGAAAACUGAGGUAUCAGGAUUUUCAUGUGACUAAAAAAGUGUCUACUCUCAUUUUCUAUUAUCAAUCGGGUACCCAAUCUGGUCAGAUAGUGAUUUGUCCUAGAGAGGUCUAGAAAGGAAAACACGGUUUUAAUUAAGAUUGGUAGAAACUAGAACAAUAGUUUUCAGUCUAAAUUAAAUUUUGGUCGUCAUACAUACAUUUGGAUAACCUAGAGUGAUUUCUUUCUUGCUUCCUACUAGUCAUACUAUAAUAAAAAGACAAGCACCUUUUUGUUUUGUUUUGUUUUUGUUUUAAGAGACAGGGUCUUGCUCACUCUGUCACCCCGGCUGGAGUGCAAUAGCACGAUCAUAACUCACUGUAACUUUAAACUCCUGGGCUCAAGUGAUGAUCCUCCCACCUCAGCCUCCUGAUUAGCUGGAACUACAGGUACAUGCUGCCACAUCCAGCCAAUUUUUUGAAUUUUUUGUAGAGAUAGGAGUCUCAUUGUGUUGCCCAGGUUGGUCUAGAACUCCCAGCCUGAAGUGAUCCUCCUGCCUCAGCCUCCCAAAGCACUGGGAUUAUAGGCAUGAGCCACCAUGCCCAACCCACAAGUACCUUUUCAAAGAAGGCUUUGUAGAUAAUAACCUAUAAAAUAUAAAUUUCUUGUGAUUUUUUGCAUACCCAAAACAUGUAAAUAAAAGUUAUAAUGAAGCAUUUUCCUAUCUUGACAAUAGAGAAAAAUAAAACAGAUAAUAGAUAUCUACGCCUGCCUGUUUGGACACCUAGUCACUUCUCAAUGUUUGCCAUUUAUUUUGCAUAUAACCUGAAUAUUUUACAAAUGUGGCUGUGAGGUAGGAAACAGACCAUUUUCUUCUUUCUGGUUUAUAGAUAAUGGCUGUUUUUUUAAAAAUGAUACUAAUUUUCUCAAUGUUAAUACUUAUUCAACAGAGUGAAUAAAUAUUACUCUUUCUAAUAAAGCAUAUAUUCAGUACACAUUUCCAGUCAUUUUGGAAGACUUUGCCGAAUGGGGAGAUGAAGAGGACGUUUUAAUAACGGGAUAUACUAUUUUAUACCAUUCAAUAUACUAUUUAAUAAUAGUCUUUUAGUUGCUGAAAAAAAAGUUGGUCUUUUUAAAAAGUUACAAUUGUGCAUCUUUCGUGAAGGUUAACAUUUUUCUUUUGCUGCGUUUGUCUUUUCACACUUUGGCUCCUAGAAUUUUUAUCCUAUUGGAAGAAUAUGUAAAGAAUAUGUUUCGUUUCCCCCCACUUCUUAUGUUGGUAUGGCUAUCUUUACAAAAUUAUUUAUACAAAGAUGUCUAAAAACACUGAGGUACUUCCUAUGCUGUAUUUCUUAUGCCUUUCACCUUCUCCCCUCUCUGUAGAGCUCAUUCUCUCUCGGCCUCUUUUUUUCUCUUCUCCUUCUGCCUUUUGCUCUUUUUGUAUCCCCUCUUUUGCAGACUCUUCACUGCCUAACUUUAAAUUGAUUAGAAUGCAUUAAUUUUUAAAUAAGUGUCACAUAUCCUUAACUGAGCACUAAAAGGUUGAGAAGGCUUCAUGGUGUAGAGUCUGAUCCAAAACUAAGUGAGAAGAAUUUUAAAAACAAGGGCUGCCCUUCAUUAGCCCUCAUGCUAUCUCCUGACAGGCUCAGUGCACUUCGUUGCCAUGCCAGGCCAGGGCAAGCCCUGCUGCCGUGCACCAUUUACCCUCUGUCAGCAGCUUCAGUCGGAGCUUGGGCGAUACUGUACAUGCGAGUCUGUCAUGCGUCAGCCUCAAUUAAGCUCAUAUUGCUGUGCUUGGGAAACACAUCAGCCUCCUGUUAACCAUUUUUUUGUUCUUGCUGUUCCUUUUUUUUCGUCCAUUUUUCCCAUUCAGCAGUCUCUAGAAAUCCAUGUUUCAUAUGGUGAAAAUAUGUUCAUAUUUUUUUCAAUUUUUUACAAAGAGAAGUGGGUUUUAGAGGAAGUAAUGCACAUAGGUUCCAGUAAGUUGAUUGUACUCAUGGAAAUGUGCUCAGUUAACCCCUGAGUUCGUUAGUUAAAGAAGGGAAUUACAGGUAACCCUCAUUUGUACCUGUGCCAUGCGUGGUCUUGAGUCUUAAGAAGCAAUUUUUCUUUAGGCCUUGUGAGGGUACAAGAGCAUCAGGCAUCUGGCAUUAUCAAAUGUUGAAGUACUUCUUCACAACGUGUUGUUUACUCAUGCCCUUGUCACCUAAGGUGGCGCUUUUAUUUUUUUAAGAAUAGAAUGAGACCUUACUACACUUGAGGGGGAGAAAGUGUAGACAGCAGCGGUUAAUAUUUGGUUCACUCUUUUGUGGCUUACCAUAAGUUUAUGGGAAAAAGAAAGAGACCGCCCAUGGCUUCAUCAUGCCUGGUGGUUGGCUCACCAACUUAGUCUCUUAUAAGAAAUUAUCUUUAAAAGGGGAUUCUCCAAAAAAAUAAAAGAAGAAGCUUUGAAGGGGGUUUGUUUUCUGUACCUAGAUAACUAUACAUUAUCCAAGAGAGCUCCUGUAUAUUUUAAUGGACAGGUAGACACUGAGACAGUUGGGCAUCUUGAAGGACUUGUGGAGAUUUUAUGGGCCUGGUCAGUUGUGAAGUCAGGUUAGAUUUUAUGGGCCUGGUGAGUUUGUGAAAUCAGGUUAAUCCAAGAGGCUAUUGUCAGAUACUGGUCACAAGGCACAGUUAUGAAAGAAAUUACAACACUGAAAAUCUUGUGAGAUCUGUGACAGCAAGGCUCUCAGCAGAAAGCAAGGUCAGUUUCACAGAUGAGAAUAGGGACACAAAAUGUGCCGUUAUUUUUUUUUCUUUUUUCAUAAGCACACCACCAGCAUAGGAAAGUAGCUUUUAAAUAGAAUCAUAUUGAUGGAUCAAUCCAAGGAAAGGGAUGGAGUACACAGAUAAUGGAAUUCAGAUUUCCCAAAUAUGUGGCAAAUGGAUCAUUGUUGAAAUUAUUAGCUGAAAAAAAACCUAAAAAUCCAUAAGUAUCUAACAUUUGUAUUGGCAAUGGGUUAAGGAUUUCCAAUAAGACUGUGGCAGUCCAUGAUAUUGACUUUCUGGAAGAUAUAUAUUAGCAUUAAAUGUGAAGUUAUUGAACAUCUUAAAGGAAAAAUUAUUUGCAAGAAUAAACUGUCACAGUAGUUUAGCAAGGGCAAGGUUUUUCUGAGAUACUAUAGAUGGAGAGAUUUCCAUCUGGAAAACAGAUGGCAGCAGAAAAGUGAUAUAAAUUAGUAUUUAGGAAUAGUUCUUUUACAUCUCAGGUCCUGAUGGAUAUUGUCAAGGGAGUCUUCACUUUAACUUUUUCUAGAGAACACAUCUCUUUUUGUUUGGAUGAGUCACAACAAUGAAGUUGUUUAUUUAACACAUAUUUUUGAGGCCCUAUUACGUGGCAGACACUUGUUAGGUACAGGUGAGUUGGUGGUGAACAAAAUAGACCUCCCUGGCCCUCAUGGGCUUUACAGCCUAAUAAUGGAAAUAGACAUUAAAAUAUAUAAAUUUUAAGCCAUAUUAAUUGGAUUGAUGGAAAGUCCAAAGGGCUGUUAAAGUGUGUAAUAGGGGAUCUUGAUCUUCGUCUGAGGGAGUCUGGGAAACUUCCCUAAAUAAAUGACAUUUAAAAUGUGAUCUGAAAGAUAAGUAAGAAUUAAGUAGGCAAAGGGCAUGGGGAAGGGUGGGAGAUGGGAAUAGCCCACUAAGCAGAAGAAAGAGCCAAAGCAAAGGCCCUAGGACAGGAAGGAGUAUGGCACACUGAGACAGUGAGGUGCACAGGGAGUAAGGUAGAGUGUGCUAGGAAUGUGCCUAGAGGCAGAGAUGAGAGCUAAAUCAUAUUUAGCCUCUUCAUGGGCCAUAUUUGGAUUUUGCCUGUAUCUGAGGCAGACAUUUUCCACCUGCAAAAUGAGAGGAUUAAGCAUCAAAGUUCUCAACCUAGGAGGCUGUUGGAAAUUAGUGAUCUGAUAUUACUGGAUAUUAGAUAAAAGUUUAAACAUAUUAUUUAAUGCAUUGAAGGAUUAUUAAGAAAAUAAGGAAAAUCCCCAAAAAGAGAAAGAGAGAAGCAGUGGGUUGAAAUGAGAAUAGAGAGCAGUGAUUUAUAAGUGUACAAGAAAGCCCAAGAUGUUCAGGGACCAAAUUUAACCACCAGCACUGCAAUCAGGAAUCUAAAAUGCAGGAGUACAUGCACAUUUGCAUAUAUGCCCACAUAUAUAUUUGUACACACAUGUACAUGUGCACACACUCACACACAAUGGGAUAGCUAAAUUCGAAACUCUUCUAUUUAGCCAGUACACUUGAAGAGGGUUAAAAUAGUCCUAGGUAAAUCAUGCCUACUGGCUUCCAGAAAAAAAUAAACAAAUUUUCUUCUGGAGGAAAGCAUCCCUAAAUUAGGCUCUCUGGAUUCCUAUACAUUCAGUUCAACAAAAUAUGAGCUUAUUAAAAAGAUUUACCAAACAUACAAAGAAAAAAAAAUGACCAUAAAUGAGAGUCAACUCAAACAGCAAAUAACACAUUUUUACUUCACAAGGUUUUCAGAUUCUGUCAUUAUCAAUGUAGAAUAAAAAUAAGAAUUGUAUAUAAUAUAUACAGAAAACUAAAGUGGAACUUUUAAAUGAUCAAGCAAUAUAAGACUAUUAAAAUGGCCAUAAGGAACCAUACAGAACUUUUUGAAAUUAAAAUCUGGAGGAAUGGAUUUAAAAGCAGAUCUGAGAAAGCUGAAGAGACAAUUAGUGAAUUGGAAAAUAUAUCUGAAGAAAUUUUGCAGAAUGCAACAGAGAGAGAAAAUAAAAUGGAGCACACAAGAGAGGUGUUGAGACAUGUAGGAUACAAAAAGCAUACCAAAAAGACAUCAAAUUAGACUUCCAGAAUGACAAGUUAGAGGAGCAAUAAUUUGAAAAGAUAAUAUCUGAGAAUUUUCCAAGUCUGCCAAAAGACAUAAAUCCACAGAGACACAACACAGACCAAGCAAAAUAAAUACAGAGUUUCACAUCUAGACACGUUAUAGUGAAACUACAGAACACCAAAGCCAAUGAGAAAUAAAAGCAGUCAGAGAUAAAAGACACAUCACCUAUAAACAGAUGGCAAAUUAGAUUGAAAGUAGGCAUCUCAACAAGAAUUGAAGCCACAAGACAGUAAAUAGUAUUCCAAGUUUUAAGGGAAAAUAACUGCCACCCUAGAAUUGUCUUCUCAACAUUGUGUCUUUCAAUAACAAGAGCAAGACAACAUUUUUAGAUAAAUAAAAACUAGGAGAUUGCCAUCUGUAGAUUUUUACUAAAGGGGUUUUUUAAAAGAAGUACUUCAGAAUGGAGGAAAAUGACUCCAGAAGGAAGAUAGAAGAUAUAAAAAUGAAAACUGAAUGAGAAAUUACUAAAUCUAAAAAAAUUAUAAGAUUUACAUUUAAAUUUAGAUUAAAAAUAAUAAUAACAAUAUCUAAUUUGGAAGGAGAGUUCAUUUUAAAUAAAAGAACUAACUCCUUCUGACUAUUUUGCUUUGUUAUUGGAAGUUAGGAGGUGAGUGAUCAGAGUUCAAGUAUUCUAAGGGCCUUGUAUUUUCAGGACAGGUGUAAAAAUAUUCAUAAACUUUGGACUUUGUUGCAUAUGCAUGGUAAAAUUUCAAAUAUUCUUAUUUAAAGAAUAAAAAUAAGACUAAAAACAAAAAACUUUACAAAAAUCACUUGUAUUUCUAUUUAAAAGCCAAAAAAAGGAAACAAAUUAAAGGUGCCAUUUACAACUACAAAGUAGAAGAUGCCUGGGAAUGAAUAUAAUAAAAGAUAUACAAAGUGGCCGGGCACAGCGGCUCACUCCUGUAAUCCCAGCACUUUGGGAGGCCGAGGUGGCUGGAUUACCGAGGUCAGCGGUUCGAGACCAGCCUGGCCAACAUGCUGAAACCCUGUCUCUACUAAAAAUAUAAAAAUUAGCCCGGUGUGGUGGCACCUGCCUGUAAUCCCAGCUACUUGGGAGGCUGAAGCAGGAGAAUCACUUGAACCCGGGAGGCGGAGGUUGCAGUGAGCUGAGAUGGUGCCAUUGUACUCCAGCUUGAGCAACAGAGUGAGACUCCAUCUCAAAAAAAUAAAUAAAUAAAAUACAAGACUGAACUCUUCUACUUAACAGCUGUGAACUUGAGCCAGUUAAUUUCUCUGAGCCUGUUUCUCAUCUACAAUAUGGCAAUAAUAGUAGUACUUAAUAGAAUGGUGAAAAUGAAAUGAGAUAAGUAGCAUUUAACAGUGUGCCAAGUCCACAGUAAAACUCUCAAUAAAAAUUAGCCCCUACCUCAUCAACAUCAUCAUCAUCAUCAUCCUUAGGUGCAAAGCUAAAAGGCAUGAGAGAAGUAACGACCCCAGCAUUCCAAGAUCUUAGAGCCUGAUAGGUUGGGAUAAUGAAAUAUACAAAUGAUUAUAUUAUAUAUAUAUAUAUAUAUAUAUAUAUAUAUAUAUAGAGAGAGAGAGAGAGAGAGAGAGUAAAUGUCAAAAGGUAAUAUCAACGGGCUGUUAAGAAGGAGCAAUAAUGUUUGGCCUAGGGGAAGGAGGAAGGGUUGUCAGAAGAGACUUUGUGAGGUAGAUGACUUUUGAGCCUGACCUUAAAAUAUUGGUAUAGUUAGAACAUGCAUACCAUAGAUAGGGAGGACAUUAGGCCAAAGUGUUGCUAUAUAUACAUUUUGGCGUCUGCCUCCAUUAGGCAGAUAUCUAAUUAUUGAAUAUUAUUAGGACAUCCAAGGUGAACAGCAGGGAGAUGCAAAAACACAAUGGUUGAUUAAGGGGUAGUUCAGCUUGACUGGCUAAGAGGAGGUGAGGUUGGAAGGAUAGGGUAGAGGAAAUACAUUGAAAUUACAGAAGUGAGUUUUGUUCACACAGCCUAUCAUGACAAUCAACCAAUUAUUAAUUAGCUGUCAGAUAACAAGAUGAUGUCUGGGAGAAUCUCCAACAAAAAAUAAAUACAUCUUCUGGAAUCGUGCCUGGCACAUUAGUAAACACAGUUUUUUUUUUUUUUUAAGGAACUAAUAUAUGUUGUGCAGUGUGUUCAGAAAAUUGUCAUAUUGGUAAUGUCAUGUUGAAGUAAACUAGCAGGUAUUUUUUUUUCCAGCUGACUUCAUGAUUGAAGGGAUAAGUAUAUGCGUGGUCCGAGCCAAUCCAUUGCAUUUGGAAAACAGUUAUUUGGGAGAAACAGUGGAAAGGGGGCUUAAUGGGAAUAAAAAUGUGGAAAUAAGACAGACAUGAUAAUGAAGACAGUUCCUCUAACCCAGGUACCUGUAAGCACGUUCAUCUGGAGGUCUGGGUAAGCACGUUCACCUGGAGGUCUGGGUGGGGAACACAUCCCAGAGAUGGAGAAAAUGUGGGCCCUUGUGCUCAAGGAUCUUACAGUCUCAUUUUAGGAGCUAGACUGAUACUCCAACAGCUCCUCUUUGAACUAUUUGCUGCCUCCACCUGGGAGGCCCCCAAGCGACAGGGCUGGCCUGGGGCUUCUUUAAUGUUGUUUCUGCAAAAUAUGUAGACUAUGUUUAUUUCUUAUUUCCAAACCAUACCUAAUUUUUGCAGAACUUUCCUCUUUAAUGUUUUGCCCAGAUGCACACAAUCGUCAUUCUCCUCGUGACUAGACACAGCUGGGGGAGGAAUGUCUGCUAGAUGAGACUUUAAUUAACUUCCUUCCUUGGAGUGAGGCUUGGGAUAAAAUGUACAUGGAUCUUUCUUGCCUUUUUCCUUGACAGUGGAACUGAUUUGCUUGCCAACAAGUACAUAUGUAGUGGGAUCAGGAAGGGAGGAUGGAAGUUAGAGGUGGAAGGGAAGGAGACACCACCUAGGGGAGGACAUAAUUGAAAGGGUGUCCAGCAUGGAGAACAUGGCUGUCCAUGUGGUUCGGGAAGGUCUCGACCCCUGGGUUGUAUUUUUAACUUUGAAAUUGUUCAGCAACAAUCUGGUUCUCCCAGGGCUUUUAAAACUCUCCUCUAAAGUAUUUCUGGCAACAGUCUGGAAAUCCUGGUGACAGGUAAAAGCACACUAUGUUUUUAAGCCUGGUAAGUAACUUUGUGUAAUAUUAACAGUGUGUGUUGUUCCUUUCACUUAAUUAUUAUUGGACUUUAGUAGAAUUUGCAUCUUAUUGUUGGACCGUAAAUCUCUUUGGGGUAUUAUUGUUACUGAUCAUUGAAGCUAUUUGAUCCAACAAGCAUUUAUUCUUUAUUUAUGUGCAAUACAUUGUACUAGGCACUGUGGAUCUAUGAAGAGGAAAGACACACUGCCUGCUCUGGAGGGAUGUACACAGUUUAGCGGAAAGAAUGGCUCUGGGAAAGGCUUGCUUAUGAGUCUGACAGCUACAACAGAGGUGGAAACUACUUAUAGGCCUAUAAGAGAGGAAGAAACAGAUUCAAGUGGGGAGAACUGGUAGGACUUGUGGCGGGGGCCAGUUUUUAACUAGAAAUUUUGAACUGGCUGGGCGCGGUGGCUCACGUCUGUAAUCCCAAAACUUUGGGAGGCCGAGGCGGGUGGAUGACCUGAAGUCAGGAGUUCGAGACCAGCCUGACCAACAAGGUGAAACCCCGUCUCUACUAAAAUACAAAAAUAAGCUGGGCAUGGUGGUGGGCGCCUGUAAUCUCAGCUACUUGGGAGGCUGAGGCAGGAGAAUCGCUUGAACCCAGGAGGCAGAGGUUGCAGUGAACUGAGAUCAUGCCAUUGCACUCCAGCCUGGGCAAUAAGACCGAAACUCCAUCUCAAAAAAAAAAAAAGAAAAGAAAAGAAAAAAGAAAUUUUGAACCAUGGCCAAGAGAUAGGAGAAUUCAGAGAUACUUAGCAAAAGUGAGUGUCCAGAGGCAUGAAGUGCCUUAGAAUUGGUGUUAGGUGAGCAAUGCGGCAUUCCAGACCGGGACUAUUGGCAGAGCCUUUGAUUAUAGGCUAGGACUUGAUUUUACAUAGGGCAUUUUGGAUUUUCUCUGUUCUAUAGAUGGAGAAUUCCAUCCAUAUGAAAUCUGUUGAAAAAUUGCCUGUUCUUUUCCAUCUUCUUGUUUUGGUAGUUUUCAAUAAUUGCCAUCUGUUCCAAUAUUAACUUGUAAACUCUAAGCAGAUAGCUACAUGUAAGGACUUACAGCGUUGUUUCCUAAAGUGUGUUUCGCUGCAGAAGGAGGCGUUCCACCAAAAGAUGACUUCAUGGCCAAGUGUCUGUGUGCAAGGCUGCGUACUGCACUCCUGUCUUGUAGAGAUUACACAUUAGCAUAUUAAUGGUUCUAAGAAGUAACAUUCCUUUUUUACUUUUUAUACCAAAGAGUUUCUCAAUGUAUUUGGUCACAGACCCUGUACAUCUUAUCAUCCCACGAAACAAGAUGGGGGGAAAUGUUGGACUUAGGUACACUUCAUAGUUUUUAUAUAUGCUUUAUGUAAGUUUUUCAUAGUCCCCAUACCAUCCUUAUCAGGUACACAUUAUUGUCCCCAUUACUCAAAUGAGAACUUAAGGUUAAGUGACUCUUCCAAGUUCACAAGCCAAGAAAAGAGCAAAAAUUUGUACCUAAAUUCUCCUAAUCUGGGAACCAUUCCACCACACUGUACUACCUCUUAGAUUCAUGUGUAUCAUUUCAGUGAGCACCAGCGUGUCCCAUCCUUCUCUGGACCCUGUCUCUAGAAGUCCUUUAUAAAUGUACUUCUACCUUGGCUUUUCCAGUCAUAGCAUGUAGCACGAAAUCCUUAAUUGUCCACUGUGUAACACCUUUCAUGACAUGUGCUGUUCCAUGUGGCACUGACUACUCCAGAGUCCCUGGGAACAUUAUGCUUUUUUUGCACACUCGUCUCCAUUUUCCACGCUAUACGCUCCUUAUAUGCAAGGUACUCUUAGUAGUUGCAGCAUCUGUCCACCGUCCUUGGCUCCGUAGUAUCACCGGGUGCUUCUUUACUAAAUGAGAGUAUUCCUCAGUUGUGGGAGUCGAGAGAGAGAAGAAGGAGACAGAGAGAGAGAGAGAGUUGGGGUGCUUAUUUUAACUCUGGUUCUAAUCAUGCUGCAGGGUCAGCUUGCCAAGAAACACUUAAGGCUCUGUUUUCUGUAUGUAGGCAGGUAAUCCUCUGAUAGAGAAACAUAGAGUUAUCCCAUCAAAAUGUGAGCACAGAAAUGUAUCAACAACAUGCCAUAAGCCAGUCGAUAUACCUAAAAGCCAAACUGCAAACCGGUCCCUGUGCCCCUGAAAGGGGUGUCAGAAUAUAGUUGUUUUUGCAGGUUUUAACAUUAAUUGGCACUAGACACACCCAGCUGAAGCAAGGUCUGUCGCUGGUUUUGAGCUUCCUCUGCCUUUUACUGAUGCUAAAAUGUUUAACUUUGGCUUUGGUAGAUUUUAAUGCAGACCAAGAGUGCUAUUUUUAUGUAUAAAAUUUUAUAUUUAUAAAACAAAAAGUACCUAAAAAAAAAAAAAAAGAAGAGGUGUAAUGGGAUUGGGUAGAAGAGCCAGGACUAGAAAGAGUCACAUACGUAUUUCUUUAUAAUGGAUUAAGGGAAAACCAGGAAAUAAGUGCAGACUGGCCAUGUUUCAAAAGAAAAUAAGAUUUGAAAGAUAAAAAUCAUCAAUUCCUAUAAUUUAGAUUUUUACCCAGAGUCAGUGUGUUCAUAUAAUCUCCUUUAUUCUUUUAAGCAUUUGGUGUAGCAAACUUCUUUCAAACAUCUUGAAAAUUUUUUGUCCAAAUAGCUAUACUUUCCAGUAUUGGUUUAAAAAUGCGAAUUUAAAAAUCUGAAGUACAAGUUAGGAAGUAGAUUGGUAGAAAGUUGAAGCUAUGUAAAUAAGAAUAGGCUGUUACUUAAGUUUUCAAAAUUCCAAUUAUGAGUAUUCCAGUGCAUUUAGACAAGCUGGGUUUGUUAUUUUUGGAGUUAGUAAGCAAUUUCACAAUGUGCUAUAUAUCACUUUUAAAGACAUGAUAAAUUGUCCCUAAUGGUAUUGUGUGUAUAAACUAGAGCUGUUUCUGCCUUGUGUAUAAUGCUCAGGAUUGGGUGGUACACCUGAAAAGGCUCGGAUUUUAAUGGGGCCUUUUUAGCACUUUUGCACCUCGUAUGUUCAGGAUUAUGUUUGAUUGAUGACUUUAAAUGUGCUGGCAUGAGAGAUAUGUAGAUCUUAAUGCUCUUAAACCAUUUGUUUUCCAAUCUCUAUAAAAGGCCCCUCUGUUUUGGGGUAACACUUUAUCCUUCUUAAGUAAACAGAAAUAGGUUUCUGGGAUUUUGCUUUUUAACAUUGUAAAUCCAGCAGGAAAGAGACAGGCUAGAGGCUUUUAAGAGAAGGCUGAAAACACCAUGUUCCCAUUUUAUUAGAGUAGCCCCAAAAAGUCAGGGCAUGUGUGUAUGUAUAUAUACGUAGAUAUAUUUUUCUUUCUUCUAAACAGUAUUAAAAUAACCUUUUUUUUUUUUUUUUGCCAGAACUCUCUGAAUCUUUUCUUUCCUUUGGACCACUUGAUAUCUCAGCCAUUAUCCUCAGCCUGCUGGCUGAGAACUCUCUUUGGAUCCCGUCACGAUCCGAAACAGCUACAGGGUUGGCUACUGUGUGGCCAGGGGCACAUUCUCCCCAACAGGUCUUAGAACAAGAGAUUGGGGCUAUAAUCGAAUCCUGCUUCCCAAAAGGCACUGGGACUUACUACCCAAGCCUGGAGGUGUUUUAUAAUCCAUUCCUAUAGGAUUCCUCUGACUUGGACAAAAUCUUCAGUGCUUCAGGAGGGGCUAGAAAAAAAUACUGCGAGGGUUUCCAGCUUCUGAUUAACAACCUCGGCACUGUGCAGGGAAAGGGGGAAAAUUGCCUCUGCUAAAGGAACAGAUUGUUUUAAGAUUUUAAGAACUGAUUAUAAACAGGUUACUUAGGGAGGAGAGAACUGCACUGGUCAGAAGCAGCCUCUGCUGCCAAGCUGUGAAACCUAUUGUAGCAGCAGAUCUAUUUGCAAGGGCCUUCAGCCUCGGCUCCCAGUUGUCCAUCAUCUUUCAAGAAAAGAGACCAGCAUGGGACUGACAAACACAUUUUCACUUCCGUCUAAGAUAUGAACUUAGGGGCUCAGGAGUUGAAAGACUAGUGCAUUUACCCAUAUUUAUAAUAUGUUGCUAAUUAGCAGUCACUGUCCUUGUGAUCUUUUUCUUUGUCGUCCUCUAGAGGCAUCCCAUUUCUUUCAUUUCCUUUCUUUCCAUCAUCAGCAAUACUAAAUGGAAUAUGGAUUAUUCUGGCAGCAGGGCAGUUUGAGCCCCAUGAUUAGUCUAGAAUGAAAUGUGAAGGGGGAAAAAAAAGUAUGAAAUGAGCCAUUGUGUCUCCUUGUUCUCAAGAUGUUAUUUUGAAAUCUUUGUGGUAGUGAUGUAUUUGCUAGUGGUUCCUAUUACCUAGAGACUUCUAGGAUACCUGGGAGGGCUUUUUAAUAUACAUUUUCAUUUUUUAUGUCUUAUUUUUAAAAUGGUUCUUAUUAGGAUAAAUGAUUAUAAGACUCCUAGGAUACCUGGGAAGGUUUUUUAAUAUACAUUUUCAUUUUUAUGUUUUUUUUAAAAAAAGUUCUUAUUAGGAUAAAUGCUUAUAAGUGAAAUACGAGUAUAACAGAAAGAUAAAAAUCGAAGACACGUAGGGUACUUAAAAUGGCUCAAACCUCAUAACCUUUUAUCAGCAGUUUGCUGCUGUUGUUGUUAUUGCUGUUUUAAGUCUGUGAAUCAGCAGUUUGGCAGUUUCCGAUAUGUUUUCUGCCAAAUAAUCACAAGAUUAUUCUUCACUUGAAUAAUUGGAAUUGUUUAUUGUAAUGGGUAGAUUAAGGGCCGGGCAUGGUAGCGCAGGCCUGUGAUGUCAGCAUUUUGGGAGGUCAAGACAGGAGAAUCACUUGAGGCUGGGAGUUCGAGACCAGCCUGAGCAACAUAGUGAGACCCCAUCUCUACAAAAUAUUUAAAAAAUUAGCCAGGCACAGUGGCACACACCUAUAGUCCUAGCUACUCAAGAGGCUGAGGCAGGAGGAUCACUUGAGCCCAAAAGGUUGAGACUGCAGUGAGCCAUGAUCAUGCCACUGUACUCCAGCCUGAGUGCCAGAGUGUGGCACUGUCUCAAAAAAAUAAAAAAAGUAUUUUGUAAUAAAGUAAGCGCUGAAUACAUAUGUUUAACUUGGGGGGUAACCUUUGUGGCUACGCCUAUGUUUGUGUGUUUAUGUGUUUGAGUGUAAAAGACUGCUGAAAGCACAGCAGCAGCCAUUACAUAUGGAAGCACGAUUAUCAGAAGCAUCAGGUAUAUGCAAAGGAAGAGCUAGUGACCUGGAUGGGAUUGGAGACUAUUAUUCUAAGUGAGGUAACUCAGGAAUGGAAAACCAGGCCGGGCGCGGCGGCUUCACGCCUGUAAUCCCAGCACUUUGGGAGGCCGAGGCAGGUGGAUCACCUGAGGUCAGGAGUAAAAAACCAGCCUGGCCAACAUGGUGAAACCCCAUCUCUACUAAAAAUACAAAAAAUUAGCCGGGCAUGGCGGCACAUGCCUGUAAUCCCAGUUACUUGGGAGGCUGAGGCAGGAGAAUUGCUUGAACCUGGGAGGCAGAGGUUGCAGUGAGCUGAGAUCGCACCACUGCACUCCAGUCUGGGCAACAAGAGUGAAACUCUGUCUCAAAAAAAAAAAAGGAAAACCAAACAUCAUAUCUUCUCACUCAUAAGUAGGAGCUAGGCUGUGAGGAUGCAGAGGCAUAAGAAUGACGCAAUGGACUUUGGGGACUUAGGGGGAAAGGGUGGGAAGGGGAUGAGAGAUAAAAGACUACAAAUUGGGUACAGCAUAUACUGCUCAGGUGAUGGGUGCACCAAAAUCUCACAAAUCACCACUAAGGAACUUACUCAGGUAACCAAACACUACAGAAAUAAAAAAUUAAAAAACAAAGACAGUACUAAAAUAAAUCUCUAAUAAGUCACGUAAAGCACUUCAGCAGUAGCUGCACAAAGUGGUAGAUCAACAAAUUUUUAUUACUGUUUUGUCUAUUCUAAUCUUUCCGUUUUCCCCAAGAAAAUGUCAGGAAGAAGAAACAAAGUACAUUUGGAAACUGCAUCCUUUUUUUUUGUAAUGAUUUCGCAGUAGUUAUGUGGACGCAUCAUUCAGUUCUAGAAUCAGUUUGAAUCAACAGCUUGGCUCCACACAAAACCUUCCUUUUUCAGAUGAUGUGGCUGAAGCACAGAGAGGUAAAAGCCCCCUUCCGGAGGUCACAUAACAGUAGAAAUCUGAGAUUUUAAGACCAUGAAAUCAAAAACAAUUAUGAAUUUUGGGGCAACUGCUCAGCUUCUUCAUGUGGCUAUAUCUUUAUUUUUUUUAAUCUACAUCUUCAAAAAUCCAAGCAUUUCUGCCUUUGAAAACAAGAUUUUUUUCUGUUUAUUAGGCAAAUUGAAUUUGAGAUAUAUAAUCAACAUUCAUAAAGUUACAGUAUAUUUAUCCAUUGAUUUAUAGAAUUAAUCUGUACUAAUGAAAUUAUAAUCUUUUUCUGUUGCUGAGGACAAGGACUACAUCUUAAUCUUCUUUGUGUCCCUAAAAGUGCUUAGUAAAAUAACUCCUAACAAGUAUUUGCAAAAAAAAAAGAAAGAAAGAAAAAAGAAAUACAGACCAGAAGUGAUCUUAAAACCAACUCUAGCCGCUUACAAAGGAGAAAACUCAGUCCUAGUGAAGGACCAUAUGUGUUGGUCAAAAGGAGAUAGAGCCAGGGUUUUCCAGCUGGUAGUCCACUGCUCUUCAGGUACAUUGGGGAUGACUUUGUUUUCAGAUAGCCUGCAUUUGCCAUCUUCCAGUUAAAAUGGGUAAAGGCUUAAUCUAAUAAUUUUAUUAAAUGUAAUAUUAUUUUUAAAUUCACACAAAUGCAGCCACAAAGCCUGCAUCAUAACUUUUCACUUCCAAGAUAUUUUGUUCUGUUCAGACUGGUAUAGUGUUUAACCACUUAAAAAUUAAUUGCAAACACAGCUUGCUGAAAUAUUCGUCCACUAAUAGCCAAUUAAUUAAACUUAUCUAAUGUUUAUUAUCCACAGUUGCCUGGCAGAUAAUUGAUCCUCAUUAAAUAUAUGUUGAUUCAGUCUUCCCUGUCUCAGCUCUAUCUCAAGAUGAGCUCUUAAAUGAUGAGCUUUGAAUAAUCUUGGAUGAUUUUUAAAAAAUAAAAAUUCCUCCUACCCAACCCUAUUCAGAAUCUCUGGGGAUAGACCUUGGGAUUCUAUUUUUAACAAACUGGACAGGUGCAUGCAUAGUUGAGAAUGACCACCUAAAGUAAGGAGAUUGAAAUUAUCAUUGAUGAAAAUACCUUCCAUUGAUCAGUCCAGUUGAAAACUAGAGAUACCUAAAUGUUAUCACCAGACAUAUUUUUAAAGUAGUUAUAUAGGUUCAGCAAACCCUAGUCCUUAUAUGACAGUUUUUAAAAUGUUUUAUCAUACCUUAAUUCAUCUUUAUUACAAAUUAUUUAAAUAAGAUAGAAGUAUAUAAAAAAAUAAAAGGAUCGUCCCCUUUACCCCUACCCAUCUAUCUCUCCCACUCUAACUACUCAAAUAUAACCACUAUUCAUAGUAGGUAUUUAAGCUUUGAGGGUUUCUCCCCUAUGUAUUCGUAUGUUUUGUCUGUAUCUAAGUACGUUUAUAUGUGUCAAUAUAUAUGCACACAUACAUGUGCAUAUAUUCAUAUUUACAUUUAUAAUGAGAUUAUUUAUUCAACAAAUAUCGAAGCAUCUACUAUGUAACAGGACCUGGUGCUGAGAUAACAACAGUGACCAAACUGAUGAGAUCCCUGUUCUCAUUAACUCAACAUUAUAAUAGUGAGACAGGCAAUAUAUCAAUAAAAAUGUGAUAUAAAAUGUGGUAAUGAUAUAUAAUAUAAAGUAAAAUAAAGUAGGAUAAAAGGAUAGAUAAUUCCAGGGGGUUCUACUUGACCUAUGAUGGUCAGGGCAAGACUCUGAGGGAUAUUUAGGCAGAGAACAGAGUCACAUGAGAAAAUGAGCCCCGCGCGUGUGUUGGAGAAGUGGACGCCAAGGUCUUCUAGACUACGUAUGCAAAACCACACGUUUUUCUUUUUAAAAAAUAAAAUUCUAUUACAUAUACUGUCCUGUACCUUAAUUUUUCUAGCCAACUCUAAUUUAUGUACACACCUCCAAGGUCUGUAUAGAUAGAUCUAAAUUAUUUCCUAGUGACUGCUUAGUAUUCCAUAAUGUGUCUGUAUCAUAAUGUAAUCAUUCACAUGUUGCUGGACAUUUUUUGUUUAUAUUUUAUAUUUAUAAACAAUGCUGCAAUGAAAUCUUAUGGACUGGAAUCUUUAUGUUUAGGUGUUUAGGUAUUAUAGGAUUAAUAUUAUUGUUCUGUUGCAAAACGAGGUUAUUGUAAGUAUUUGAAUUCUAUCAGUGAAAAACAGAGUCACCUAUACAAGAAUAAAGGAACCAGGACCUUGGGAUGCAAACAUGUAUAAUAAUCAUUUUAUGUAUAGAUAGAGGUAAGAUUUAUUUAAUCAUGUUUAAUUUUAAAAUUGGGCCAUCAAAGAAUCCUAAAUCAAGUUUUUAUCAUAAAAGACCAUAUUUUACAGAUUUCCAUGGUUUAAUAGUUGUUCAACCAACUGCCCUGGCACUGGUUCUCAUUUACAGGAUUGCAUCCAGUUUGAGUUUGUUUAUUUUUAUAAUGUCUGUUCUCCUAGUAUUGGAUCAUCCAUUUAAUCUUCAGUGUUGCUGCUUUACGGUUUUCUUUAUCCAAAAGUAUUUGAUCUAAACUAUAUUUUAUCUUUUAAAUGUAAGAUUUUCUUAUUUAAAGUCUUUUAAAAUAUUAUAAUUAUAAAUACAGAAAACCUUAUCUCCCAGAGAUAACCACUGUUAGUAUUUUGGUGUAUAUCCUCGCAGUGUUUUUUUAAUGCAUACACGUGUGUCUACAUUUAAAGUAUGAGUUUUUUAGAUGAAAUUUUUAAUUUUGGGUUCAUUGACUCUCUUUGAUACACCAGACAUCUCAUAACCCACACUUAAAAUAGACCCAUUACCUCUCUUAUCAUCUUUCUAUUACUGGUUACUCACUUAAUCAUGAACAACCUAGCAGACCCUCUCCAUGUUGUCAGUUGAAUAGACAGGUGCCUUGCAGGUUGUUUGCCAAGUGAAUGGCUUCUGGGGUAACAGGUGAUGUUACUGGGACACUCAGAGGCCUCAGACACUUGUCCAGCGCUGUCAUCAUGGCUGCAGGCAGAGCCUGCCUCAGGAUAGCACUCUGGAGCAUCUGAACCCAUGCAUCACAUUCCUCCUUAGGGACAGGGCACCAGAAAGUUCUUCUAUCCUACUCUUCCUUAUGACCAGGCCCUGAAGGGGUUGCUUUGGAUUUUCACAGAAAAAGAGAUUUUCCUCCUACACUAUUCCUCCUAUCGCCGUCAUUCUUCCCAUUCCCUGUUUCAUCACCGCACAGCUGUUAGGAGGAUAGUUGGCUUUUAACUGGAGGCUUAUCUGGGAUUUCCCCCACAUUGGAAUUAAGAAGAAACAGAAUCUUUUAAAAACAGGACCUUUUUUCCAGUUAGGCUUCCCUUAGGAAGGGGCUUCUUGUCUCCAGACUCCUGCAUGACCUUUGAGGAACGAGUGUGAAACAUGCUGUGAUUUAGGAAUGAAUGCUUAUUUAACGCAGAAGUUAUUUUAAAAUGAGGCUAUACAGCAGCAGUUUAGUAAUUAAACAUUUUUAACUUGCUCUCCAGUUCUCAAAAGUGGCUUAAGCAGUAUUGAGCUAAGCUUGCUAAGUUUCAAGUGACUGCAGUUAGUAAGUUUGCUUGUUUGUUUUAACUGGAUAAUUCCUCAGUCAAUUUGAGGGUUUUGAUGCACAUAAAUCCACUGUGCUUCCAGCCUCAUAUGAGCCAAAUCUCCUAAACAUGCCAUAUGCCAUUCAUAAGUCUUUCUGUGGAGUACAGUGGACAACUUUGUGACUACUGGAUUUUUUUAAACGAAGAUGAUUUUUCAGUAUUUAAAAAAAAUAUGGUUUUAUAGUAUUAAAACUGAGAGUAGAGUUGAGAGGGACUCUAGUAUGUUAAAGAAACACAUUAAUUGUGCCUAAAGGUGUUUGUUUUUUUCUCGAAAUGCCCACUUCGUUCCCAAUUGAUCAAAAGAUGAAGGUUCCAGAGACUCUUUCUUCUGACAGACUUGAUUAUUAGGGGUUCCUUUCUAGAGAAGUUGUUAUUUUGUAAACACAUGCAUAUGCAUAAUAUAUUCUGCCCAACACUCCCACUUUCUGAUCUGCACAGGACAGCAGAGCAUCCUAUGGAGUCACAGAACAAAGAAAAUCCUCACUCUGAAAUUCUUUCCUGGAGCCAAAUGUGUCCUCAGCUUCAGAAAGAAAAUCCCUAGCCUGGGUUGGGUCACCCCUCCAGCCCUCUGAGGAAAUUUUAGAUUCAUCUAUUCUGGAUAUUCCAAACAAAUGGAAUCCUACAACAUGUGACCUUUUGUGUCUGGUUUUGUUCACUCAGCAUAAUGUUUUUGAGGUCCAUUUACAUUGCAGCCUAGGUCAGUACUUCAUUCCUUUUUAUGGUUGGGAAUAUUGAUUUUAAGUUCUAGGCCUAGCUCUGCUAUUAACUCCCUGAAAGCCUGACGCAAACCUCUGAGCCUUAUUUUGCUCGUCUGUAAAGGUGAGGGCUGUGUAGCCUAUGGCAUGUGAGUUCCGCAGGAAGCUCUGGAACAAAAGGUCUUCAGUUCAAGUAAGUGUGAGGAACAGUGCAUACUGUGUCUUGUUUGUCGUGACUCAUAAUGCUCCAUGUACUAAAGAUUUGCACUCUUUAGCCCAGGAUUGCUCAAUCUGGGACCAGAGAACCCUUUUAUUUCGCCUAUUUUUGUUUACAUCUUAUAGAACAUAAUCCAGGAUUCUAAGACACUGUAAUCUAUGAAUCACUUAUUGAUGAAAUUCCACAAUAUGGUAAUUAUAACAAUAUAAUUGUAAUUGUAAUUGUAAAAAUAUACAACUUGGCCAGCCAUGGUUAUGUUGAUCUUUUCUCCAAGUUAGUGUCCAUCAGUUGGGGUAGUAUUCUUCCCUAGGGGACAUUUUGAACCUUUGUUGGGGCAUUUUGGUUAUCUCAGUGAUAACUCAAGGGUAAUAAACAUCCUGGAAUGUAUUGCGUAGUCUUUUACAACACUCCCUGAUCCUGCACAAACUCUCAAAUGUCCUGCUGGUCAUUUGUGAAGGUGCACACCCUAUUUAUAAUUAUCUGAACGUAGUUUUCCAUAUGAACACAAAGUAUUUUUGUGUGGCUUGAACGUAUGUGGAGUUUUCCAAGUAUACAAUAAUUGUGUAAAAUCAGGGUUUAUUUUAAAAGAGUUCUUUACCAUUGAAGGAUAGACAGGAUUAUGCUACAGUAACAAAUUAACCUAGAAAUUCUGGUGGUUUAACACAACAAAGGUUUCUUUUUUAUUUAUGCUAAAAGUUGAUCAAGCAUUGACAGAGGGCUCUGCCCCACUUACUCAAGCAUCCAGACUCCACCAUGGGGAUCGUUGCCAGCCACUGCGGGCAGGGAUAGACGGGAUUCACAUACCAGCUCAUCAAUAUUUUGACCCAAAGUUGAGGUACAUCACUUCUGACUAUAGUGUACCGGCCAGAAAUAGUCAUAUAGUCCUACCUAACCAUAAGGGGGUUAGGGAAGAGGAACAGGUGGAAAGUUGGGUGAGUACAGUGUUCAUGGUAAUGCGACUUGUAGUAUUUGAGCUGUCAUUACAGUGCUUGUGGAUUGGUUUGCAUAUGUAGUGUCACAUGCAUGUUGAUUGUACAUGCAUGUGACAGUUGUAUAGGCACAAGCAUGUACUUACUUAGUUGUAUCUAUUAGUAUAGUAAUGCCUGGGUAUUUACAAAUAGAAAUACUUCUUAUUUUGUUGUAAGUUAUUUUCCUGUAUUUAUAUUACAGCUAGGGCAUUAUAUUGAUUUCUUUUUUAAAAAUCCUGUGUGAAAUAUUUGUUACAAAAAGGUGGUCUGGGCUGGGCGUGGUGGCUCAUGCCAGUAAUCCCAGCACUUUGGGAGGCUGAGGCGGGCAGAUCACGAGGUCAGGAGUUUGAGAGCAGCCUGACCAACAUGGUGAGUCCUGAGAGGAGAGGUCUGAAGGAGAGGAGAGGUCUGAUGGUGAUGAAAGCCACUUUUCUAGGUCUUCGGCAUCAUCUGGAACACAUAGUGGGUCAUAGAGAAUUACGGGACUUACAUAAUAAUAGUAAGAAGAAGAUUAGCUCACAUCCUUUGAGUACUCCGCAUGUGCCAGGCACUGUGCUAAAACCCUGUAGGUUGAUUCUCUGCUUUAAGCAUCACCAGAAGCCUGUGAGGAAACCUCCGAAUUCUCCAUCUUACAGGAGAGAGCUGCUUUUUUCCUUCAAGUAUAAUGGAAAAGUUGUGGUCCCCAGAAUUUCUGUCCUCCCUAUGCUAGCACGAAGGGAUAAUUGAUCUUCAGACAUUGAAAAGAGAUAGCAGGCAAAACACCGGGGCUGGAACAACACAGCAGGAUACCCAGGGAUCCCAAAAGGAAGUCAAAGAAGAGAUUGGAGAAAAGCAGUGGUGAGGAAAAGGGCAUUGCCCCCAAAAAGUAAUGUCUCCCAUGCAGAGAAGACUAGCAUUACAUAAAUGUGUCACUGAGAGAGUUACCUUACCCUGACUCUGUCACCAAAUUUUAUUAAAUGCCUCUCCUAUUUCAUCCUUGUUGGUGAACUUCCCAGUUCUUCUCUUAUUUUAUGGGCAUAAGAGCUUAUACUUUGCAGUUUAGUUAGUUAAUUUAUUUAAAUAGCAUUAUCAAGUUGGCUCUAGACUAAAAAAAAAAAAAAGUCAUGACUCACUCCAGAAAAUACCAUCAGUUAACAAACGGAAAAAAGGAAAAAGGAUCACAGUUAACUCAGAAUUAUAAAACAAUGGUUCUUUUAGGCUUCCUAUUUUAGUGGUGUAUCCAAACACCUUUUUCCCAGAGUAAUAGAGCUUUCUUCCCUUUUGGUUGCAAGCAUUAUAUGAGCAAGAUUGGCCACUUUAAAAGUUUUGUUGCAUCUUUACUUUCAUUACUCAACCUUUAUUUCUCCUCAGUCUUUAUUCCAUAAGAAAUAUGCUUCAAUGGCUUAUGCAUUUAGAAUUGACUUUGUGGAACAGUGCAAUGUUUUCCUUGCCUGUGGCAAGACCACUUCGGUUCAAGGCUAAGAAACUAGACUGUUCCUACAGAGACCCUCUGGGUGACUCAUCUCUUUUGAGAUCCUGAUUGUCCAUUUUUUGGUUGGUGUUCUGGCAGCAGUGUGUGUUGCCCUGAAGGCACCCUCUCAUAUGGUGUUGACUACACUAUGCUGUGCUAUUUAAUUCUUGUUUUGGAUUGUGCCUCGAGUUUUAAGUCACUUGACAAUACAGAAGGUUUCUUUCUCCAAAGAUUAUCAAUAUCAUACCAUUGCCUCUCGGUGGUUAUACACACACACACAGACACACACACACAUACACACACACACACACACACACACACACACACACGAAUUUCAUGUUUUCUUCCUUUUGAAACUAAAUGUGAUCUGUCUGACCUUUCUGAGGAGUCUGCUGCUUUUUCAGAUUUAUGUCCCUGUGACAAGGUGGUUUGGCAAGCUGUUUGUCUUAAUCACUCAGCAUCUCCAUUAGACAAGCUGUUUAAAAAUCUUCUACGUAAUUAUCUUUUUUGACUCUCACUCUUCCACAUUCUUUUCUUUAUUGUAAACUUUCUUAUGACUUUUUUAUAUAUCUGCCAUGUUCUAAAAGGCAUUUAAGCCUUCUUACACUGUUUUGUCUGCUUUUCAUUAAGUUUGCCAUCAAUUUACAAUCCAUGCCCAUUGCCUCCUUCACAAUCUGAAUACAUAAACAUGCAUAAUAAAUAAACUCUGGGGUUGAAUCCUGGACUGAGUGGCCAACAUUUUUUCUGUGUCUUCCUUAACUGUUAAAAUAGGCAGACAGAGGAGCAUUAGAGGAGCUAAUUCUAGGAGUCUCCUACGGACAUUUGCCGGAGUUUUCACUGCCUUGUUGUUGCCUGUAACUGCAAAGUUCAGAAAGCUGGGGCUGGAGGUGCCUUUAUUCAUAAUAUGAGCCAGGCACUGUGCUCAUUAUUUGGGGGGAAUAAAAGAUAACACAUUUCCUGCCUUCAAGCAGCUUUUACUCUGGUAAAGAGGAUAAUGCAGGCAUGUAAAUCUUGUGGAGAUGAGACAGCGUGCUGAGGAAUUUAAGGAGAAAGAUCCCUUUGGUAAAGGCAGAUGCAGAAUUCAUGGCAGAUGUAGUGUUUUAGCAGAACCGUGAGCAGUCAGCAGGAUUGUACGGAUUGGAGAUUGGUAGAGGCAUUCCAGACAGGGAACCGCAAGGGUCAAAGCUCAGAGGUGGCCAAGUCUAGAAUAUAUGCCAGAGAGAAUUGAGAGAGAAGCCUGAAAGAGUAUUUAGGCCUAAAUUCUGAAAGGUUCUAAAUGCUGGCUUAAACCUUGGAUUUUUCUUGGUGAGCAUGGCCAGAGUGGUGUUUUAGGAAGAUUUUAGAAAGAUCAAACAAUCGAGACGUACUGAUGGUUGUAGACAAUGAAGACAGGGAAACCAGUUAAGAGGCUUUUGCACUGGUCUUUGUGAGAGGUUACAACAGUAGGAAUGGAAAAGAAACAAGUAUGAGAGAUAAUUCAAAGAAAGAUUUGAGAAAACCCGAUGACUGGUUCAAAAUGGGAAGCAAAAUAAAGGAAGAUUCAAACUGAGUUGAUAUGUGUGAGUCCCAAGAGACCCACUUGAUUCGCCCACAUUUAGCUGAUGGGAAGAGGCACAUAGCAAGAAGCUGUGAUUUUUAUUCAUGCCCACUGAAUUUAAGGGAUGAGUGAACUACCCAGCAUGUAAUAGGAAAUGGGGAGUAAAACUUGGAAUAGUUUUUAACAGAUUAAGCAUAGAAACAGAGAUGAUAUUUAAAAACCAUGAAAGUGAAUGAGGAUCUCAAAGGAGACUGUUUGGAGAAUGUAGGAAAGAAAUACAAAGUAAGAACUUGAACUGCCAAUAAUUAUGGGUUGAGAUGAGGCAGCACCUGCAAGGGAGAGAGAUCCGAGGGUUGGGCUCUGAAUGCUUUGCUCACAGUAGGCACUCUGCACAGAUGCAUUUGUGGAUGAAUACCUGUCAAAGUCAAGGCUGACUCUUUCACUACAAACUUUGCCAUCCCAUAAAUCUUUAUAUAAGGGCACUUUGUAGACCAAUAAUCUUGAGCUCAUCAACUCACAUAGUUGACAUUCAAUACCAGGGCUUUAUAUAAAGGUAUACAAUUGCAAUUAAUAUUACUUGUUAUUUUUACCUAUUGUAAUAGCUCAUUAAUUUUCUCCUGCCAUUGGAUGGUGUGUUAUGGGUGGGUAUGGUGAGUAUCCCAUUUUGUCAAAUAGAUUAUAAACUCCAGCCGGGUGCAGUGGCUCAUGCCAGUAAUACCAGCACUUUGGGAGGCCGAGGUGGAUGGAUCACAAGGUCAAGAGAUCGAGACCAUCCUGGCCAACAUGGUGAAACCCCGUCUCUACUAAAAAAAAUAUAUAAAAAUUAGCUGGAUGUGGUGGUGCGCACCUGUAGUCCCAGCUACUUGGGAGACUGAGGCACGAGAAUUGCUUGAACCUGGGAGGCGGAGGUUGCAGUGAGCUGAGAUUGCACCACUGCACUCCAGCCUGGGUGCCAGAGCAAGACUCGAUCUCAAAAAAAAAAAAAAAAAACUUCAAGUGUAGAGGUAGUAUCUUUUGUUCUUUGGUGUAUUACUAGAGGGUGCAGUCAGUAUAAAUUAAAUGCUAGAGAUCAAUUAUUCUCUUCCAAAGUAAAGAGAAAAUAAACAACCAUAGCAAAACAAAAUGAAACAACCAACAACAAAAAACAGUCAUUAAGAUUCAUUGUCAUGGAUAUAGAUAGAUCAGAGGAAACAUUUCACAUUUCUUAUGUAUCAGAAGGCCAGUCUAUUCUUCUAGAACCUAGAGGCCUCUGUCAACUCAUUCUAUCUCAGAAUAGCCUUAACCAGACAGAUAUAUUUAACUUAAAUAAUGACAUGAAGGCUUUUUUGAAUGGUUCCAAUAGAAACAUUAGAAAUUGUUUAUUCCUAACUUUUAUUUAGUUUUGUUUUCUUUUUUUAAAAGGAAAACAAUUUGGAGACUCGUGAGAUUUUAUAGGUGUCAUCUAUUUUGAAACAGUUUACUUUUAUGAUGUUUAUUCAUUGAAGGGUGUGAACAUUAUGGGUUUUACUGCAUGGCAAACUAAUGCUGUUUUUACAAUAUACUUUAUAUAUGGUGUCAGCUUUUUUGGUGCCUCUUCUAAUGUUUCCUUGUUGCAUAUCCGCAAAAAAUCAUGAUUAGAACUGCUAUAUAGGGCUGGGUGUGGUGGCUCACGCCUGUAAUCCCAGCACUUUGGGAGGCCAAGGUGGGCGGAUCACGAGGUCAAGAGAUCCUGGCUAACAGGGUGAAACCCCAUCUCUACUAAACAUACAAAAACUUAGCUGGGCGUGGUGGCACAUGCCUGUAGUCCCAGCUACUUAGGAGGCUGAGGCAGGAGAGUCACUUGAACCCAGGAGGUGGAGGUUGCAGUGUGCCGAGAUCGCGCUACUGCACUGUAGCCUGGGUGACAGGGUGAGACUCCCAUCUCAAAAAAAAAACAGCUGUAUAAAAGACUCUCUUUUUCUUUAGCAUUUAACUCUUAAGUAAAGAAGAAAUUAAAAAGUAAAGUAAAAUUGUAAAUAAGUAAUUGCACCUUUAUUUCUGUACUGUACAUCCCAUAAAGAUAGACAAUAUGAUUGACCUAAAAGUUCUAAAUAAAUAAACUUAAAUCAGAAUGUGUGGAUUAGGGAGUAAAAUGGUAGUACGAAAAAAUUGUCUUGUAUACAGUUGCUUUUUAGAUGUGUAAAAACUGUUUACUUGACACACAAUGCUUUGGAAUUAAUCACAUAUGCAAGCAUGUUGUUUGUUGGGGAAACCCCUUAUAGUCUCUACAUAUGUGAAUGAAAGAUGGGAUUUGUUUGAAUUACUCUAUAGCCUUCAUUGUUAAAAUCAGAAUUAAGUUCUUUGUUCAGUGAAGCAUUCGUAGCAAUCCUUGAGAUUUCUGAGCAGGGCUGGUUGUUGGCAGAGAGUUCUCAGUGUAUUAUGCUGUUUACCUAAGGGUUUUAUUCAAGAAGCUCUCUGAACAGCUGGGCUGAUUAUUGAAAAUGCCUCAUAGUAACUUCCAGCCUAGGCUGAUCGAUAUCGGUGCAAAGCUUUACAUGGGAGGGAGUUAUUUAAACAUUGAGAGCCCCAGGGAUAAAAGAGAAUGAAAAAAUAAUGCUGGACAAAUAUGCUGAAAUGUUCAAAAGAAGAGAGAAGUAUCUUGUCUUGGUAUAGAGGGGAAAUUCCUAAACAAACAAGCUAGAAAAUUUGUAAGCUGAUCUUAUUACACCCUAAACAUUUACUUAUUUUAACUUAUAGCAAUCCCCUAAAUAUUUAUUUAUCUUAUAACAACACCCUAAGUAUUUGGUGGCAAGAGGAAAGAUUAAUUAAAAGUACCAAAGAUCAAUUUUAUUUUUAUUUAUUUUGAAAUGUAACCUAUUACAUAAAAUUCCAUGAGACACUUUUUAGUGAUAAUAUUGGGAAAUAUUUAACUUUAUUGUCAAAUAGAUUCAGCUCUCAUAGUUUAAAUGUAGCACAAAUGUAUUUCACCCAAAUGUAAGCAGAAAAUUCCUAUUUCUUUAAUUUUUUUUUUUUUUUUUAACUACAGAGAUCUAGAAUACAGAUAUUACCAUUUCCUUCUGGCUUAGUCCUAGCAAAACAGGUUGGGCUUUUUUUUUUUUUCAUUUCUGUUUUUAAACAAUUUAAUAAAAUAAAUAAAAACUGUACUAGAAAUAGGAGAUUUUAUUUCCUAAAGGCAUUUGGUGGAAUUAUGACAUUGAAGCAAAAGUAUCAGCAUUUAAAAGCCUGUUUCUUUCUACAAAAUGGGAGAACAGAGAAAUACUCCAAAAAGGGAGGGAAAAACACUCAAUUUAUCAAAGUGGAAGCCUGUAUCAAGAAAUCCUACAUCUUGUUACAUCCAGGAUUUCUUACUUUUGCUCUGCUCAUGAGCAACAGACAGAAAGUUCAGAAACACAAAGGCAAUCAAUAUGAAAACUGUGAAAGUCUCUUAAUUAAUCAACUCACACAAACUCUCCAAGUAAGAGGAUUUUACAAACAUUUCAAUUAAAGCUUUCUCUUUUUAUUACUAAAUUUCAUUGACAAUUAAAAAUGCAUAAUGAGAGUCGACAUGAUUAUAAAAAGCAAAAUAUCAUUUAAAUACUGAGCUUUUAGACGUAUAGGAGACUGACUUUCUGAUGCUUAUUCUUUUGAUGAAUCACAUAGACAAUUACUAAUUGGAUAGUUAUUCUAUAACAGUGACAUUUUGGAAUUUUCAAAACAGGUAGCUCUUUGAACAUGUUUGUAUUUCUCUCCUCAUGUUAACAUCAUCAUUUUGGCAUACUCAGACCUAGAAGCUUCAUGACUGACUCACUAAUGAAAUUCAGCAAUCAUACAUAUGCAAAGAACUACCUAAUUCAUUGAAAUAUUUAAGAACUGACAUGGGGUGACUAGAUGUUUUAACAUUUAAGAGCUCUAGAACAGGCUGAAAACACUAACAUCCAAGUGUUUACCUAUGAAUUGAUAUUGGAAUACAAGAAACUAACUUACAUUGAAAAGGUAUAUACAGAAUAUGGAAAUUUUUAUAAAAAACAAAAGCCAGCUUAGUCUAAUAGUUUGUUUUUGCUUUUAAAAGAAAAGUUUGUUUGAAAUCUUCAUUGACUCUCAGCUGCUGGUUCCAGAAACUACACAUAUUCCCAAUAUGGCUUAUGCCAGUUUUCUGCUUUGAAGACUAAAAAAUAGACCAGAAGACAAAAUAUGAUUUCAUGAUUCUGUGCCUCCCUUGUGACAGUAGAAAAGUAAUUUAACUCCUUUGUGCAGCUUUUCUUCACCAGUAAAUUAGGAAUAAUCAUGUCUUCCACCUUCUGUUGGGGACUUUGAAGAGUAAUGAUUCAAGGGCCAUUUGGAGUUAAAAUAGAAAUAUGAAAUUAUUUUUCUUUACCCAAAGACUUAAGUUCAUGGAAUAUGAGAAUAUCUCUUAAAUCAUUUUUAUUUUUAAAUGCCCAUUUAAAAAUUCAGCAUUUUAAAUCUAUUUACUUUGUGUUUAUAUUGCAAAAAUAGAACACAGAUGCUAAAGAUGUCAUAUUAGGACAUCUUUAAUAGCAAUAUCUAUCAAUGCCAUUAAAAUAUUAUCUAUCUAUGAAGCAUAAAGUCCCACUGUUCUAAGAGUAAAACAUGGGUGUUUAAAAAAUAUGCAGAAACUACCCAAUUUAUCAGAAACAAUCGCAGUCAGUUUUUGAAUCUGACUAAAAUCUUAUUUUGCCCAUAGCUUGCCUCCUCUCCCACUCCUCCUGCUCCCACCUCUCAUGGAGGAAGAGUGGACCAGCUCACAUGGGGAUCAGGCAUUCCACAGCCUGGAGGUGGGUAAGGAGGAUCUCAACAAUCUGGGAAAAAAAACAAACAACAACAACAACAAAAAAAAACCCCACUAGCUUCUAUAGAUAAAUAUUGAUGUGGAUCAGGUUGUUGUACUUUGUAAGUAAUUUAUGUGCCUUUAUUAACUGCUGAAAUGAUAUAGACUUGUACCAUAUAAAAGGGUUCCAAUGUUGAUUCCCAAUAGAAAAAUACAGCUAAAGCAUUUUAAUAUUGGCCUAUCAUUUGGCAGCUGUUGAAUUAGGCAGUUGUUUUAUUUAAAGUGAAUCAGUAUUCUUUUGUGUAUAAGAGAGGAGUAGCCCUGAGGGUAGUCGAAUGCAAAAUACAGGGCUCAGUCCAGAAACAGAUCUUGGCGUCAUUCAUUGUCUGGGCUCCAGAAAGACGUUGAUGGAUGCUGUGGUUUAGUAUCCAAAUUACUCUAUUUAUAUCUCAGUUUCUAGCCAACAAUGGACCAUCAGGCAUAUUCAGAUUGGCUGUUUUCAUAUAACUUCAAAAGAAUACUAAAUAUUGCCCUGUUGUCUUGUGACUAUUACAGAAAAAGCAAAAGUUUUUUUUUUCUUUCAAGGUGAUCAUUCUGAGAGGGGGUGUAGUUGGGGGGCAGAUAGCAAAAGUCACGGAUUUUCUCCUGUUGGAAAAAGCCCUAUCUGAGCAGGCUUGUUGAGCUGUCAGUUGGGCACUUCAGGCUUUCUCUCUGAUCAUGCAGUUCGAAAGCCUUUGCAACUCUCCUUCCAGUCCUCCUGCAGGCCCCAGUGAUCCCACAUGUCCCACAUUACCUCCCUGCUACCCCAUCCUUCAAACACGCUAAGCUUGCUGUUGAUAAAGGAAAAAACAGAAUAGCCACUUUCCUUACUUUGCACAAUGUGGAAAGGUUGAGGACCUUUCCCCACUCGCCGCGGCUAGGAAACUGGGGGAUUUGGAGGGACUCACAGAGGCUAUAGCAAAUGACCAGGUGAUGAUGUGCAUGACAGUUUGGGCUCAAGAGGGGAGGUGACCUUAGCAAGGAAUAGAAGUGGCAGUUCUGAUAGUGUGGAGAUGAUCUCAGGCAGAAACUCCCAACAGCAGUUGGCAAGGGUCCCAGCAUCAAUUCCAAAGCCCCACUCGUAGAAGGUCACCCUUAAAAGAUCUUCUUCUCUAUUACCUUUAGUAUCCUGUCCCUUCCAAAUGUUCCUUUCCCAUUCCCUAAUUAUCCAUUUUCAGUGAGAGCACGAGAUUAGCCAAACUUGCAGUUAUGUUUUUUUAUGCUGCCCAAAGUGCUUGCUUUUACAAACCACAUUUGGCCCCAUAUCAAUCCGUUGUGUAGACCACAUCAAGUUUCCAGUCCACAGCCCAACUCCUGCACUUGCGCUUGUCUUUGAACACAAAUGGGCCGCAGAAAGAGGAACUGUUGGGCUUUGUGAGUGACCGGAAACAGGGUACCAUUGAGCAGAAAUUGAACUGAUCGCACCGUGUUAAGUCAGGAAGAUUCUCAACCCAGACCACUCUUUGAGCACCAAGUUAACAUGUAUUGCAUUUAAAAUGUAAUAAAUGCAGUAUUCAUAAACUUA
Homo sapiens (human) is the source of this 43009-nucleotide long non-coding RNA. RefSeq lists it as uncharacterized. The transcript has 2 exons. The record is from RefSeq and is a predicted model, not a curated record. NCBI's taxonomy places the organism in Eukaryota, Metazoa, Chordata, Mammalia, Primates, Hominidae.